GACGAACGCUGGCGGCGUGCCUAAUACAUGCAAGUCGAGCGAACAGACGAGGAGCUUGUUCCUCUGACGUUAGCGGCGGACGGGUGAGUAACACGUGGAUAACCUACCUAUAAGACUGGGAUAACUUCGGGAAACCGGAGCUAAUACCGCAUAAUAUCUUGAAACACAUGGUUUAAUAGUGAAAGACGGAAUUGCUGUCACUUAUAGAUGGAUCCGCGCCGCAUUAGGUAGUUGGUAAGGAAAAGGCCUACCAAGGGAACGAUGCGUAGCCGACCUGAGAGGGGGGAUGGCCCAAACGGGACGGGGGAAAGGCUCAAGACUCCUAGGGAGGGAGCAGGAAGGGAAUCUCCGGCAAUGGGGGAAGGCUGAACGAAGCAAGGCGGCGUGAUGAAGGAGGGUCUCGGGUUCGUAAAACUUGUUUGUUGGGGAGAAACAAAGGUGGAGGUAACAAUGCACGUAGUGACGGUAACUAAUCAGAAAGCCACGGCUAACUACGUG
RNAcentral lists this ribosomal RNA (498 nucleotides) under uncultured bacterium. RNAcentral describes it as "partial 16S ribosomal RNA". It matches the Rfam family "Bacterial small subunit ribosomal RNA", at positions 28 to 507 of the family's 1533-position model. The record is from RNAcentral.